AUUGAACUAAUAGAGGUAGGUCCGAACACGGGAAAAGACUGGUUAUAUGAAUUGGGUCUGUUAGUGUCACAAUUGACUGUAUUCUGGCUAUCUAAAAUCAAGUAUCAACCUAUAAAAUACUGAGGCUUACUACUUCCAUCUUAAUUCAACCUAUAAUCCAUUCUAUGAUUAUCAAUUCAACAAUACUUCUCUCAAUCACCAUUCUUCAUAAGCAAAUAAUAAAGAAAACAAAGAGGUAGCACCAAGCUUACUCUGACUUACGACUCU
RNAcentral lists this long non-coding RNA (267 nucleotides) under Physcomitrium patens. Its description in RNAcentral is "long non-coding RNA (PPAT_LNC003307)". The record is from RNAcentral. Lineage: Eukaryota; Viridiplantae; Streptophyta; Bryopsida; Funariales; Funariaceae.